UGCGCAGUUCGUCAUCAAUGGUUUAAACUA
RNAcentral lists this non-coding RNA (30 nucleotides) under Mus musculus (house mouse). Lineage: Eukaryota; Metazoa; Chordata; Mammalia; Rodentia; Muridae. The record is from RNAcentral.